This 460-nucleotide ribosomal RNA is filed under the name uncultured bacterium. RNAcentral describes it as "partial 16S ribosomal RNA". It matches the Rfam family "Bacterial small subunit ribosomal RNA", at positions 338 to 795 of the family's 1533-position model. The record is from RNAcentral.
CCUACGGGAGGCAGCAGUGAGGAAUAUUGGUCAAUGGACGAGAGUCUGAACCAGCCAAGUAGCGUGAAGGAUGACUGCCCUAUGGGUUGUAAACUUCUUUUAUAUGGGAAUAAAAUGUUCCACGUGUGGGAUUUUGUAUGUACCAUAUGAAUAAGGAUCGGCUAACUCCGUGCCAGCAGCCGCGGUAAUACGGAGGAUCCGAGCGUUAUCCGGAUUUAUUGGGUUUAAAGGGAGCGUAGGUGGAUGUGCAAGUCAGUUGUGAAAGUUUGCGGCUCAACCGUGAAACUGCAGUUGAAACUGGCGGUCUUGAGUACAGUAGAGGUAGGCGGAAUUCGUGGUGUAGCGGUGAAAUGCUUAGAUAUCACGAAGAACUCCGAUUGCGAAGGCAGCUCACUGGACUGCAACUGACGCUGAGGCUCGAAAGUGUGGGUAUCAAACAGGAUUAGAUACCCGUGUAGUC